Molecule: long non-coding RNA, 799 nt
Filed under: Malus domestica (apple)
Lineage: Eukaryota; Viridiplantae; Streptophyta; Magnoliopsida; Rosales; Rosaceae
Description: long non-coding RNA (MDOM_LNC017439)
Source: RNAcentral
UAUGCGACUUAGUUAGCUUGUUUCUUGGUAUUUAUGUUGUUAGUUCGUAGUUAGUUUAGUAUUUUUAAGCUAUUUUCGUGUGUUUGUAGGUCCAAAGGUUAAUGUGGCAAAGAAGUGCAUUUUGGAGCAUUUUGGAGCAUUUUUAGGUAUAUAAUGGAUAACAUAUGCUUGGAGCAAAAGGAAUGGACGAAAUUUGAAGUUUGUGCAUCAUCCUCUCCCUAUAAAUAACCAUUUUAGCACACUCAUUUCACCAAACACAUCCACUCAUUACAACCACCCAACACAUUCACCUGCCACUACAUCCACUCAUUUCACCCAACACAUUCACUCAUUACAACCACCUAACACAUUCACCUACCAUUACAUCCACUCAUUUCACCCAACACAUCCACUCAUUUCAACCACCCAACACAUUCACCUACCACUACAUCCACUUAUUACCACCACCCACUACAUCCUCUCCUUAGCCUAUAAAUAUAUCCAUCCAAAGACACAUUCAAGGGGACAGUUUAGGGAGAAGGGAGGAAGACACAUUCUGCCGCAAGGUAGAGUCUUUUCUUCUUAACCAUUCUACACAUUCCCAUAACAAAAACACAAUUCCAUGCACCUUCAUUUCCAUUUCCUUGCCGUGACCUCCAUCCAACCUAAACACAUUCAGCCAUUCCUCCAUAUAAACAAACCUUCAAACACUCACCAACACCUUGUGCUGUAGCAAAGGAAGGGAAAGAAAGUGCUUGGAUGUGCUUGCUGUCCAACUUGGAUCGUUAGAGCGUUUAGGUGUUUUCUUUCUUUUGUUUCU